RNAcentral lists this ribosomal RNA (892 nucleotides) under Gliomastix murorum var. felina. Its description in RNAcentral is "LSU rRNA". It matches the Rfam family "Eukaryotic large subunit ribosomal RNA", at positions 38 to 963 of the family's 3401-position model. Lineage: Eukaryota; Fungi; Ascomycota; Sordariomycetes; Hypocreales; Bionectriaceae. The record is from RNAcentral.
GCAUAUCAAUAAGCGGAGGAAAAGAAACCAACAGGGAUUGCCUCAGUAACGGCGAGUGAAGCGGCAACAGCUCAAAUUUGAAAUCUGGCCUCUGGCCCGAGUUGUAAUUUGCAGAGGAUGUUUCUGGCGAGGUGCCUUCCGAGUUCCCUGGAACGGGACGCCAUAGAGGGUGAGAGCCCCGUACGGUUGGUCGCUAAGCCUCUGUGAAACUCCUUCGACGAGUCGAGUAGUUUGGGAAUGCUGCUCUAAAUGGGAGGUGUACGCCUUCUAAAGCUAAAUACAGGCUAGAGACCGAUAGCGCACAAGUAGAGUGAUCGAAAGAUGAAAAGCACUUUGAAAAGAGGGUUAAAUAGUACGUGAAAUUGUUGAAAGGGAAGCGCUCUUGACCAGACUUGCGCCGGUUGAUCAUCCACCGUUCUCGGUGGUGCACUCUGCCGGCUCAGGCCAGCAUCAGUUUGGCCCGGGGGACAAAGGCUUCGGGAAUGUGGCUCUCUCCGGGGAGUGUUAUAGCCCGUUGCGUAAUACCCUGGGCUGGACUGAGGUUCGCGCAUCUGCAUGGAUGCUGGCGUAAUGGUCAUCAGUGACCCGUCUUGAAACACGGACCAAGGAGUCGUCUUCGUAUGCGAGUGUUCGGGUGUCAAACCCCUACGCGUAAUGAAAGUGAAUUAGGAGAGAGCUUCGGCGCAUCUCCGACCGAUCCUGAUGUUCUCGGAUGGAUUUGAGUAAGAGCAUACGGGGCCGGACCCGAAAGAAGGUGAACUAUGCCUGUAUAGGGUGAAGCCAGAGGAAACUCUGGUGGAGGCUCGCAGCGGUUCUGACGUGCAAAUCGAUCGUCAAAUAUGGGCAUGGGGGCGAAAGACUAAUCGAACCUUCUAGUAGCUGGUUUCCGCCG